CCUACGGGAGGCAGCAGUGGGGAAUAUUGGACAAUGGGGGGAACCCUGAUCCAGCCAUGCCGCGUGUGUGAAGAAGGCCCUCGGGUUGUAAAGCACUUUCAGUGAGGAAGAACGCCUGGUGGUUAAUACCCAUCAGGAAAGACAUCACUCACAGAAGAAGCACCGGCUAACUCCGUGCCAGCAGCCGCGGUAAUACGGAGGGUGCGAGCGUUAAUCGGAAUUACUGGGCGUAAAGCGCGCGUAGGUGGCUUGAUAAGCCGGUUGUGAAAGCCCCGGGCUCAACCUGGGAACGGCAUCCGGAACUGUCAAGCUAGAGUGCAGGAGAGGAAGGUAGAAUUCCCGGUGGAGCGGUGAAAUGCGUAGAGAUCGGGAGGAAUAACAGUGGCGAAGGCGGCCUUCUGGACUGACACUGACACUGAGGUGCGAAAGCGUGGGUAGCAAACAGGAUUAGAUACCCCAGUAGUC
RNAcentral lists this ribosomal RNA (465 nucleotides) under Vreelandella stevensii. RNAcentral describes it as "partial 16S ribosomal RNA". It matches the Rfam family "Bacterial small subunit ribosomal RNA", at positions 338 to 795 of the family's 1533-position model. The record is from RNAcentral. Lineage: Bacteria; Pseudomonadati; Pseudomonadota; Gammaproteobacteria; Oceanospirillales; Halomonadaceae.